AGCUUUCUUGAAUCCGUGCAGAGAUUUCGUCAGACACCAACCCAUUAGGGCGGACUUGACUUCCAAGUUAAGUGAAGUU
RNAcentral lists this microRNA precursor (79 nucleotides) under Schistosoma mansoni. RNAcentral describes it as "mir-3492 microRNA precursor family". It matches the Rfam family "mir-3492 microRNA precursor family". The record is from Rfam by way of RNAcentral. Lineage: Eukaryota; Metazoa; Platyhelminthes; Trematoda; Strigeidida; Schistosomatidae.